UGGGGAAUAUUGGACAAUGGGGGAAACCCUGAUCCAGCCAUGCCGCGUGUGUGAAGAAGGUCUUAGGAUUGUAAAGCACUUUAAGUUGGGAGGAAGGGCAGUUAACUAAUAUUUGACUGUUUUGACGUUACCGACAGAAUAAGCACCGGCUAACUUCGUGCCAGCAGCCGCGGUAAUACGAAGGGUGCAAGCGUUAAUCGGAAUUACUGGGCGUAAAGCGCGCGUAGGUGGUUCGUUAAGUUAGGAGUGAAAGCCCCGGGCUCAACCUGGGAAUUGCUUCUAAAACUGGCGGACUAGAGUAUGGUAGAGGGUGGUGGAAUUUCCUGUGUAGCGGUGAAAUGCGUAGAUAUAGGAAGGAACAUCAGUGGCGAAGGCGACCACCUGGACUGAUACUGACACUGAGGUGCGAAAGCGUGGGGAGCAAACA
This 427-nucleotide ribosomal RNA is filed under the name uncultured Pseudomonas sp. RNAcentral describes it as "bacterial SSU rRNA". It matches the Rfam family "Bacterial small subunit ribosomal RNA", at positions 355 to 774 of the family's 1533-position model. Lineage: Bacteria; Pseudomonadati; Pseudomonadota; Gammaproteobacteria; Pseudomonadales; Pseudomonadaceae. The record is from RNAcentral.